CAAAUUGUGCGGGAAACAGGAAAAUAAGAGCAACCCAUGCAAUGAAAAUGUCCCACAUGAUGAACUUGAGAAUCCACUUGGCCCAUGACACAUAGAAAGGUGUCUUCUCGACAUAAUCAGCACCUCGACUCAGAAGAGGUUUCUCAACAGAUUGUUCAUCCAUAGGCAUAAAUUUCCUCUCUCUCUC
This is a long non-coding RNA of Juglans microcarpa x Juglans regia, 187 nucleotides long. RefSeq lists it as uncharacterized. Lineage: Eukaryota; Viridiplantae; Streptophyta; Magnoliopsida; Fagales; Juglandaceae. The transcript has 2 exons. The record is from RefSeq and is a predicted model, not a curated record.